AGUUUUUUUUUUUCUUUUUC
RNAcentral lists this microRNA (20 nucleotides) under Corchorus olitorius. RNAcentral describes it as "bta-miR-232". Lineage: Eukaryota; Viridiplantae; Streptophyta; Magnoliopsida; Malvales; Malvaceae. The record is from RNAcentral. RNAcentral also lists the same sequence under 1 other name.